UACAGAGGGUGCAAGCGUUAAUCGGAAUUACUGGGCGUAAAGCGCGCGUAGGUGGUUUGUUAAGUUGAAUGUGAAAUCCCCGGGCUCAACCUGGGAACUGCAUCCAAAACUGGCAAGCUAGAGUAUGGUAGAGGGUGGUGGAAUUUCCUGUGAAGCGGUGAAAUGCGUAGAUAUAGGAAGGAACACCAGUGGCGAAGGCGACCACCUGGACUGAUACUGACACUGAGGUGCGAAAGCGUGGGGAGCAAACAGG
RNAcentral lists this ribosomal RNA (253 nucleotides) under uncultured bacterium. RNAcentral describes it as "partial 16S ribosomal RNA". It matches the Rfam family "Bacterial small subunit ribosomal RNA", at positions 524 to 776 of the family's 1533-position model. The record is from RNAcentral.